CAUGCAAGUCGACGGAGUAGCAAUACUUAGUGGCAGACGGGUGAGUAACAUGUGGGUAUCUUCCCUUUGGUGAGGAAUAACACGAGGAAACUUGUGCUAAUACCUCAUAAGUCUUUACGGAGAAAGCUUUAUGCGCCAAUGGAUGAGCCCGCACUUGAUUAGUUUGUUGGUAGGGUAAUGGCCUACCAAGACUGUGAUCAAUAGCUGAUUUGAGAGGAUGAUCAGCCACAUUGGGACUGAGACACGGCCCAAACUCCUACGGGAGGCAGCAGUAGGGAAUCUUGCACAAUGGAGGAAACUCUGAUGCAGCGAUGCCGCGUGAGUGAAGAAGGCCUUUGGGUUGUAAAGCUCUUUCGUCGGGGAAGAAAAUGACUGUACCCGAAUAAGAAGGUCCGGCUAACUUCGUGCCAGCAGCCGCGGUAAUACGAAGGGACCUAGCGUAGUUCGGAAUUACUGGGCUUAAAGAGUUCGUAGGUGGUUAAAAAAGUUGGUGGUGAAAGCCCAGAGCUUAACUCUGGAAUUGCCAUCAAAACUUUUUAGCUAGAGUUUGAUAGAGGAAAGCAGAAUUUCUAGUGUAGAGGUGAAAUUCGUAGAUAUUAGAAAGAAUACCAAUUGCGAAGGCAGCUUUCUGGAUCAUUACUGACA
RNAcentral lists this ribosomal RNA (645 nucleotides) under uncultured bacterium. RNAcentral's name for it is "bacterial SSU rRNA". It matches the Rfam family "Bacterial small subunit ribosomal RNA", at positions 54 to 745 of the family's 1533-position model. The record is from RNAcentral.